AUUGAACGCUGGCGGCAGGCCUAACACAUGCAAGUCGAACGAGUGGCGGACGGGUGAGUAAUGUAUGGGAAUCUGCCCGAUAGAGGGGGAUAACUACUGGAAACGGUAGCUAAUACCGCAUACUCUCGGCUGCACCCAUAUGGGAUUAGCUAGUAGGUGGGGUAAAGGCUCACCUAGGCGACGAUCUCUAGCUGGUCUGCUAGGAUGACGAGCCACACUGGAACUGAGACAAGGUCCAGACGCCGACGGGAGGCAGCAGGGGGGAAUAGUGCACAAUGGGCGCAAGCCUGAUGCAGCCAUGCCGCGUGUAUGAAGAAGGCCUUAGGGUUGUAAAGUACUUUCAGCGGGGAGGCGUUACCCGCAGAAGAAGCACCGGCUAACUCCGUGCCAGCCGCCGCGGUAAUAC
This 406-nucleotide ribosomal RNA is filed under the name uncultured bacterium. Its description in RNAcentral is "partial 16S ribosomal RNA". It matches the Rfam family "Bacterial small subunit ribosomal RNA", at positions 30 to 526 of the family's 1533-position model. The record is from RNAcentral.